UGAGAUGUAGCUCAGUAGUAGAGCACACGCUUAGCAUGUGUGAGGUCCUGGAUUCAAUCCCCAGCACCACAC
This 72-nucleotide transfer RNA is filed under the name Ictidomys tridecemlineatus (thirteen-lined ground squirrel). Its description in RNAcentral is "Spermophilus tridecemlineatus (thirteen-lined ground squirrel) tRNA". It matches the Rfam family "tRNA". Rfam says of the family: Transfer RNA (tRNA) molecules are approximately 80 nucleotides in length. Their secondary structure includes four short double-helical elements and three loops (D, anti-codon, and T loops). Lineage: Eukaryota; Metazoa; Chordata; Mammalia; Rodentia; Sciuridae. The record is from Rfam by way of RNAcentral.